GGUGGCUCAGUGGUGGAGCGCUUGCCUAGCAUGCAUGAGGCCCUGGGUUCCAUCCUCAGUACCA
This 64-nucleotide transfer RNA is filed under the name Dipodomys ordii (Ord's kangaroo rat). It matches the Rfam family "tRNA". Rfam says of the family: Transfer RNA (tRNA) molecules are approximately 80 nucleotides in length. Their secondary structure includes four short double-helical elements and three loops (D, anti-codon, and T loops). Lineage: Eukaryota; Metazoa; Chordata; Mammalia; Rodentia; Heteromyidae. The record is from Rfam by way of RNAcentral.